GACGAACGCUGGCGGCGUGCCUAAUACAUGCAAGUCGAGCGCAGGAAACUGACGGAACUCUUCGGAGGGAAGGCAGCGGAAUGAGCGGCGGACGGGUGAGUAACACGUAAGGAACCUGCCUCAAGGAUUGGGAUAACUCCGAGAAAUCGGAGCUAAUACCGGAUAGUUCAACGGACCGCAUGGUCCGCUGAUGAAAGGCGCUCCGGCGUCACCUUGAGAUGGCCUUGCGGUGCAUUAGCUAGUUGGUGGGGUAACGGCUCACCAAGGCGACGAUGCAUAGCCGACCUGAGAGGGUGAUCGGCCGCACUGGGACUGAGACACGGCCCAGACUCCUAUGGGAGGCAGCAGUAGGGAAUCUUCCACAAUGGACGAAAGUCUGAUGGAGCAACGCCGCGUGAGUGAUGAAGGUUUUCGGAUCGUAAAACUCUGUUGUAAGGGAAGAACACGUACGAGAGGGAAUGCUCGUACCUUGACGGUACCUUACGAGAAAGCCACGGCUAACUACGUGCCAGCAGCCGCCGUAA
Molecule: ribosomal RNA, 524 nt
Filed under: uncultured bacterium
Lineage: Bacteria
Description: partial 16S ribosomal RNA
Rfam family: Bacterial small subunit ribosomal RNA
Source: RNAcentral